CUUCGCGCACCCAAAGUCCCCUGGAGCGGGGAUACAGAUUGAAGCUCUUUCUUGUUCGGUGGUGAGGUGCUCGAUUUGUUGGUGGAGUGAUUUGUCUGGAUCCGAAAGAGGGUCUAACCUCAUCUAAGGAUAAUUAAGUCCAGAGACCUUAGAGACAAGCGGUGAGCGAAAGUUGCAAUAACUUUGAUGCGAGAGUCCAGGGCUGCACCCGCUAGAUGGAGGAUAGAGUGCGUAACUUGUCGAAAGGCAUUGGUAACCUUCAAAAUCCUCGUGAUCGGGACGGGAGUGAAUAUUUCCCUUGAACGGGAAUUCCGUAGGUGUGAGUCAUAGCCUCGGAUUCGUCGCUGACGUUUGUAGACACCCCCGUCGUGCCCGGCAUUGAGGCGCUUCGAGAAUAGGGGUACUGCUGUUUCGAACCUUUCGGGGUGGGUUCUUUGGUGGAGACUGCCUUAGUCGCAUGGUUGAUGCGGAUGCGUAACAUGGUUUCGGUGUGAACCUGGACCACCUAUCGAGCUUCAAACAGGCCAAGGGUCUACAUCCAUUUGGGUGAAAACCUGAAGCGAAUGCAACAAAGUCGUCGUGUGCGGCUGAUAUGGGAUCGCACGGUUUAGGCCGGGAGGGCACCAUGCUCCGUCCCCGUGCUUGAAUACGGAGUAGAGCCACGCUGGCCCGAGAUGGUGACUAUGCCUGAGCAGGAUGAAGCCAGAGGAAACUCGGGGAGGUCCACGAUUUGCGUGCAAACGCGUCUCGGGUAUAGCAGACUAAUCGAACCUGUGCGCUGCCAGCACCCAAAACCACAUGUACCA
RNAcentral lists this ribosomal RNA (806 nucleotides) under Nematoda sp. 1 WC-2017. RNAcentral's name for it is "partial small subunit ribosomal RNA". The record is from RNAcentral. Lineage: Eukaryota; Metazoa; Nematoda.